UACAGAGGGUGCGAGCGUUAAUCGGAAUUACUGGGCGUAAAGCGUGCGUAGACGGUAGCGUAAGUCAGAUGUGAAAGCCCCAGGCUCAACCUGGGAAUUGCAUUUGAGACUGCUCUGCUCGGGUGCGGAAGAGGGAAGCGGAAUUUCCGGUGUAGCGGUGAAAUGCGUAGAUAUCGGAAGGAACACCAGUGGCGAAAGCGGCUUCCUGGUCCGACACCGACGUUCAGGCACGAAAGCGUGGGGAGCAAACAGG
RNAcentral lists this ribosomal RNA (253 nucleotides) under uncultured bacterium. RNAcentral describes it as "partial 16S ribosomal RNA". It matches the Rfam family "Bacterial small subunit ribosomal RNA", at positions 524 to 776 of the family's 1533-position model. The record is from RNAcentral.